RNAcentral lists this ribosomal RNA (113 nucleotides) under Candidatus Yanofskybacteria bacterium RIFCSPHIGHO2_01_FULL_43_42. RNAcentral also lists the same sequence under 2 other names. The record is from RNAcentral. Lineage: Bacteria; Candidatus Yanofskyibacteriota.
UAAGGGAACUAUACAGCAAGUGCUCCACCUGAUCCCAUACCGAACUCAGUAGUGAAAUCUUGCGUGGCCCAUGAUAGUUGGUAUUAACCAGCGAAAGUAGGUAGUUCCCCUAU